AAUCACUUGUUCUUUAAAUGAGGACUAGUAUCAAUGGCAUCACGAGGAUCUUACUGUCUCCCCGCUCCAAUCAGUGAAACUGAUCUUCCCGUGAAGAAGCGGGAAUAUACCUAUAAGACGAGAAGACCCCAUGGAGCUUUAAAUCCAACAGCACCUAUUACCCAUAUAUCUUUAUAUUUUUUUAGCAAAUGCUCGUUCGGUUUUAGGUUGGGGUGACCAUGGAGUAAAAAAUAACCUCCACGAAAAAAGGCAUAAAACCCUUAUCAAAGAGCCACAUCUCUAUGAAUUAGUAAACUAAUUUCUGAUGAUCCGAUAUUCGAUCAACGAACCAAGUUACCCUGGGGAUAACAGCGCAAUCCGCCUUAA
RNAcentral lists this ribosomal RNA (366 nucleotides) under Boophis picturatus. Its description in RNAcentral is "partial 16S ribosomal RNA". It matches the Rfam family "Bacterial large subunit ribosomal RNA", at positions 1963 to 2495 of the family's 2925-position model. The record is from RNAcentral. Lineage: Eukaryota; Metazoa; Chordata; Amphibia; Anura; Mantellidae.